Nelumbo nucifera (sacred lotus) is the source of this 2546-nucleotide non-coding RNA. Lineage: Eukaryota; Viridiplantae; Streptophyta; Magnoliopsida; Proteales; Nelumbonaceae. The record is from RefSeq and is a predicted model, not a curated record.
UGUUCCUUUACGGCCAGUCACAGUUUCUUAUUUUAGACCAUCAUCUCUCUAAAAUCAAACCCUAAACCCUACGUGACGCUUAUAAAUUUUCUUCCCUCAUCGCCUCUCUUCUCUACUUCUCUCUUUCCCGCCGCGUUAUUUCAGUGAGUUACAGUGUGGUUCGCCCCUACUCUUCCUUUCUUCCUAUUUUGUUUCUUUUAAUUUUCUUGAUCUUUUGAAGUAUUUGUGUGCUUGUUUUGGAUCUCGAUCUUCUCUUUGGUUCAAUCGAAGAUUGAAGAUUCUCUAGGUUUUAUGUCUUGUCUCAUGGAUUGAUUUACCAAGAUUAGAUUGUUAGUGAUUAUUGAUCUAGAUCGAGUAGUAACUUCGCAUUGGUGGCUCUGUUUUUGUGUCAUUGGAGAACUAAUUAUUCGCUAUUCAGUCUGUGAUGACAAAUUUCAAGGCUUGUUUCUCAAAACAUUCGCAGUGGCCGACUAAGAGCUUUCGCCUUCGCCUGGCUUGAGAGCUUGUGCUGCUCCAAUCCUUCCUUGGAUGUCUGAGACAUCAAACAUGACCCACAGUAAGGCAAUGUAAAUCUUUGAUUUCUUUCUACUAAAAUUUGCUGUCUUUAUGGCCUCAUUGAUGUUGAUUUGAUAUAUAGUGUCGUUAAUCUGCUGUUUUGAGUUUGAUUUCGACCGGGUCAUGUGACAUCACAUAUUAAAUUGUUUUACUGAACCAGUUACCCACAUUUUGAGGUUAAUCGUUAGACAACAAAUAAAUGCGUCUUAGUAAUGGAUGUAUGUCUAUGAUGACAAGUUUUAAGGCUUGUUUCUCAAAACAUUCGCAGUGGCCGACUGAGAGCUUUCGCCUUCGCCGGGCUUGAGAGCUUUUGCUGCUCCAAUCCUUCCUUGGAUGUCUGAGACAUCUUUCAUAGUCCAAACAAAGGCGAUAUAGAUGUCUUGAAAUGUUUCUACUAGGAUUUAUUUUUGGUGUCCUGGAUUUGAUAAUGACAUGUUAUUCUUUUCAUUUCCAAUUCUUCCUUGGAUGUCUGAGACAUCUUGCAUAGUCCAAAGAAAGGCGAUAUGGAUGUCUUGAAAUGUUUCUACUAGGAUUUAUUUCUGCAUGAUUAUGCCGUGUACUAUCUGAUUAUAUGUGUGACAUGCUAUGACUGUUUACCUUGUAUUACUUAAUUAACUGCAUUUUGAUUUUUCAUAGUUAGACUUAGACGACAAAUGAAUGCAUCAUUUCAAUGAGUUAUCAUCUAUGAUGAUGAAUUUUAAGGCUUGUUUCUCGAAACAUUCGCAGUGGCCGCCUUCGCCGGGCUUGAGAGCUUAUGCUGCUCCAAUCCUUCCUUGGAUGUCUGAGACUGUUCUAUUUCUUCUCACCAAGUUAAUGUUUCUUAUUCGGUGAUUUUCUAUAGUUGCACUAAUUGGCCGUCUAAGAGCAUUCGCCUUCGCCGGGCUUGAGAGCUUGUGCUGCUUCAAUCCUUCCUUGGAUGUCUGAGACUCGUUAACCUUUUUGAUUGGUGAUACAUCUACUUCUUAUGGAAUUUCUUGUUGCCAUGUUUUCAUGAAUGUGUUUUAUAUUCCUAGGGUAUCUUUGUAUUUCUUUCAUGUUUUUCUUGCUUGUUUCUCUUCUGGUCAUAAGAUUCAACCGUUCAUCCAUUUAGAAGGGUGCCAUGAAAUGUUUCAAUCCGACGGAUUGGGGACUUGACGUCUGCCCCUCUGGCUAGCUAAUAAGUGCCUCAGGGAUGAACAAGCCCCUUACAUUUAACCGUCUGUUUCACUUUGUCAGCAGACGUUUUUGUUUUCUGUUGAUCAUUUUAGGAUGGAACAUAUUCUACUGCUGAAAUCGAUCUACCUUUUGUUAGGAAACAAGAUGAACAACUGUUUUUUAAGCAAAUUGCAUAUGUUUUGGAUGCGUUACACAGCGAUUGAAUUAUAAAUUGUGGCUAAUGAUGACAAAUAUAAGGCUUGUUUCUCAAAACAUUCGCAGUGGCCGCCUGAGAGCUUUCGCCUUCGCCGGGCUUGAGAGCUUGUGCUGUUCCAAUCCUUCCUUGGAUGUCUGAGGCUAUUUAUCUCAUUUUAAAAUGUUUACUAUUUACUUUUAGGUAAUACCAUAGCGUUUCUUUCUCUGAAAACUUUAUUUCUGCAGCAACAAUUCAUUAUCUCUGUUGACAACUGCGUAUCAGAGAUUUGCCGUGGUGACUCAACUCUACAAGUCGUCAAUAUAUCAGAAUAUGCUUUCUUGAAUGCCAGACAGAAUUCAUGUGACCAAUGUAAUUCUGUGACAUUGAAGAUUUUGGAGUGACCGAUUGCCUCCAGUGACGCUCUAUUUAGUGUUUUGUAAAAUUGUUUGGUGAUUUCCAGAUUGUGUCAGUCUCGUUUUUUAGUACAAGCAAUCGAAUAUUGGUCCAAAGAAAACAUUUUGGUUUUAAGCUUUACUGUACCGUCUUGUUUAUGCUUGAAAUACCAGAAAUUAGAUGGUUGAGUUACAUUUUAUCCGAUGUCAAGUGAAUUACAACAAACUGGCUUUUUUAUUUCUCAAUAAAUAUUCUAACUUCCAAGGUC